UCCGAUUGCGAAGGCAGCUCACUAGACUGCAACUGACACUGAUGCUCGAAAGUGUGGGUAUCAAACAGGAUUAGAUACCCUGGUAGUCCACACAGUAAACGAUGAAUACUCGCUGUUUGCGAUAUACAGUAAGCGGCCAAGCGAAAGCAUUAAGUAUUCCACCUGGGGAGUACGCCGGCAACGGUGAAACUCAAAGGAAUUGACGGGGGCCCGCACAAGCGGAGGAACAUGUGGUUUAAUUCGAUGAUACGCGAGGAACCUUACCCGGGCUUAAAUUGCAUUUGAAUAAUCUGGAAACAGGUUAGCCGCAAGGCAAAUGUGAAGGUGCUGCAUGGUUGUCGUCAGCUCGUGCCGUGAGGUGUCGGCUUAAGUGCCAUAACGAGCGCAACCCUUAUCUUUAGUUACUAACAGGUCAUGCUGAGGACUCUAGAGAGACUGCCGUCGUAAGAUGUGAGGAAGGUGGGGAUGACGUCAAAUCAGCACGGCCCUUACGUCCGGGGCUACACACGUGUUACAAUGGGGGGUACAGAAGGCAGCUACCUGGCGACAGGAUGCUAAUCCCAAAAACCUCUCUCAGUUCGGAUCGAAGUCUGCAACCCGACUUCGUGAAGCUGGAUUCGCUAGUAAUCGCGCAUCAGCCAUGGCGCGGUGAAUACGUUCCCGGGCCUUGUACACACCGCCCGUCAAGCCAUGAAAGCCGGGGGUACCUGAAGUACGUAACCGCAAGGAGCGUCCUAGGGUAAAACUGGUAAUUGGGGCUAAGUCGUAACAAGGUAG
Molecule: ribosomal RNA, 777 nt
Filed under: uncultured bacterium
Lineage: Bacteria
Description: bacterial SSU rRNA
Rfam family: Bacterial small subunit ribosomal RNA
Source: RNAcentral